This 497-nucleotide ribosomal RNA is filed under the name uncultured bacterium. Its description in RNAcentral is "partial 16S ribosomal RNA". It matches the Rfam family "Bacterial small subunit ribosomal RNA", at positions 28 to 507 of the family's 1533-position model. The record is from RNAcentral.
GAUGAACGCUGGCGGCGUGCCUAAUACAUGCAAGUCGAGCGAACGGACGAGAAGCUUGCUUCUCUGAUGUUAGCGGCGGACGGGUGAGUAACACGUGGAUAACCUACCUAUAAGACUGGGAUAACUUCGGGAAACCGGAGCUAAUACCGGAUGAUAUUUUGAACCGCAUGGUUCAAAAGUGAAAGACGGUCUUGCUGUCACUUAUAGAUUGACCCGCGCUGCAUUAGCUAGUUGGUAAGGUAACGGCUUACCAAGGCAACGAUGCAUAGCCGACCUGAGAGGGUGCUCGGCCACACUGGAACUGAGACACGGUCCAGACUCCUACGGGAGGCAGCAGUAGGGAAUCUUCCGCAAUGGGCGAAAGCCUGACGGAGCAACGCCGCGUGAGUGAUGAAGGUCUUCGGAUCGUAAAACUCUGUUAUUAGGGAAGAACAUAUGUGUAAGUAACUGUGCACAUCUUGACGGUACCUAAUCAGAAAGCCACGGCUAACUACGUG